AUUGUAUGGUGUUCCUAGUACUGCGGCAGCGCCCCUAACUAGACCCGCAACCUGAUUCUCACUGCAGGAGAUUAACAUUAUGGACAAGAUGGGACAACGCUCUGGGAGGUGGAUAAACCAGAUUAGAAAAAAACAAUCCUUUUUCUUCGAGAGAGAGUAGGAGGAGCUAAUGAUAAAACAAAAACAUUGUACAGAAAGAAGAAAAAUGAAAACAACUAGGAAUUGAUAUUUAUCACUAAGCAAUAGAAUGUUUAUCACAAUCAUCAAUUGUACAAUAACUUGUCCAUGAACAAUAAAGAUAUUA
Molecule: long non-coding RNA, 304 nt
Organism: Xenopus laevis (African clawed frog)
Lineage: Eukaryota; Metazoa; Chordata; Amphibia; Anura; Pipidae
Exons: 3
Source: RefSeq, a predicted model, not a curated record